AGAUAAUUGAAGGUACGAUGCAUUUCCACGGCUAUCAUUGCAUGAAACGAUCCAGCGAAGUGCGUGCGGCGCGUCGAAUUAAUAACGCAUCGUACUCGUGCACGUCAGGCCACUGUCAGGCUCUUCGGGGAAGUUCGGUCACACAAUAUAUUCAACAAUUCCGCUGCUGCGAAUCGGUAUAAAUAUUGAGAUCCGAAAGGACUAAAAGCGGCGAGCGAAUUAAAAAAUGCGCGGUUACCCAAAAUCAGUCGACCUUCCGAGGAUACGAGCACAACGAUAAACGAAAUUUUUAUCAUCGGUGAACAGAUCAAACUUAAUGUUACAAUAAGUGUGACAGUCCAUCCUGAGAUAAGAAUGACACCCACGCGCACAGGUGUGAAUCUAUCCAGGUCAUUCGAACGGCCAUUCGAACAAACGAUUGUCUCUCGUACGGACGUCGUCGAAUUGACUCUCGAAUUGAUUCCACGAUGACGGCAUGUUUUCGACUACGUCUAUCUGAUUAUAUCUUUUUUUCGGCAUCCCGACCGCGAUGAAUAAUGCAUA
Cataglyphis hispanica is the source of this 543-nucleotide long non-coding RNA. RefSeq lists it as uncharacterized. The record is from RefSeq and is a predicted model, not a curated record. NCBI's taxonomy places the organism in Eukaryota, Metazoa, Arthropoda, Insecta, Hymenoptera, Formicidae. The transcript has 4 exons.